AUUGAACGCUGGCGGCAUGCCUUACACAUGCAAGUCGAACGGCAGCACGGGUGCUUGCACCUGGUGGCGAGUGGCGCACGGGUGAGUAAUACAUCGGAACAUGUCCUGUAGUGGGGGAUAGCCCGGCGAAAGCCGGAUUAAUACCGCAUACGAUCUACGGAUGAAAGCGGGGGACCUUCGGGCCUCGCGCUAUGGGGUUGGCCGAUGGCUGAUUAGCUAGUUGGUGGGGUAAAGGCCUACCAAGGCGACGAUCAGUAGCUGGUCUGAGAGGACGACCAGCCACACUGGGACUGAGACACGGCCCAGACUCCUACGGGAGGCAGCAGUGGGGAAUUUUGGACAAUGGGCGAAAGCCUGAUCCAGCAAUGCCGCGUGUGUGAAGAAGGCCUUCGGGUUGUAAAGCACUUUUGUCCGGAAAGAAAUGCUUGGCUCUAAUACAGUCGGGGGAUGACGGUACCGGAAGAAUAAGCACCGGCUAACUACGUG
Molecule: ribosomal RNA, 486 nt
Filed under: uncultured bacterium
Lineage: Bacteria
Description: partial 16S ribosomal RNA
Rfam family: Bacterial small subunit ribosomal RNA
Source: RNAcentral